UCCUGGUUUCCCAGGCAGUCCCACCAGAGUGCCUUCCGAAGAAGUAGCAACUGGCAGCAAGGGUUGCGCUCGUUAAAGGACUUAACCCAACAUCUCACGACACGAGCUGACGACAGCCAUGCAGCACCUGUGAACAUGUCUAUGCUUUCGCAUAGAAAGCUACGUUUCUGUAGCGGUCAUGCACAUGUCAAGCCCAGGUAAGGUUCCUCGCGUAGUGUCGAAUUAAACCACAUGUUCCACCGCUUGUGCGGACCCCCGUCAAUUCCUUUGAGUUUUAAUCUUGCGACCGUACUCCCCAGGCGGAUCACUUAUCGCGUUAGCUACGACACCGAUUCCGCAAAGCGGAACCGACGUCUAGUGAUCAUCGUUUACAGCGUGGACUAC
This 384-nucleotide unclassified non-coding RNA is filed under the name uncultured bacterium. Its description in RNAcentral is "contains 16S-23S intergenic spacer region". The record is from RNAcentral.